AGUGAACGCUGGCGGUAGGCCUAACACAUGCAAGUCGAACGGCAGCACAGGAGAGCUUGCUCUCUGGGUGGCGAGUGGCGGACGGGUGAGGAAUACAUCGGAAGCUACCCUGUCGUGGGGGAUAACGUAGGGAAACUUACGCUAAUACCGCAUACGACCUACGGGUGAAAGCAGGGGAUCUUCGGACCUUGCGCGAUUGAAUGAGCCGAUGUCGGAUUAGGUAGUUGGCGGGGGAAAGGCCCACCAAGGCGACGAUCCGUAGCUGGUCGGAGAGGAGGAUCAGCCACACUGGAACUGAGACACGGUCCAGACUCCUACGGGAGGCAGCAGUGGGGAAUAUUGGACAAUGGGCGCAAGCCUGAUCCAGCCAUACCGCGUGGGUGAAGAAGGCCUUCGGGUUGUAAAGCCCUUUUGUUGGGAAAGAAAUCCAGCUGGCUAAUACCCGGUUGGGAUGACGGUACCCAAAGAAUAAGCACCGGCUAACUUCGUGCCAGCCGCCGCAGUAA
Molecule: ribosomal RNA, 506 nt
Filed under: uncultured bacterium
Lineage: Bacteria
Description: partial 16S ribosomal RNA
Rfam family: Bacterial small subunit ribosomal RNA
Source: RNAcentral